RNAcentral lists this long non-coding RNA (821 nucleotides) under Xyrichtys novacula (pearly razorfish). The record is from RNAcentral. Lineage: Eukaryota; Metazoa; Chordata; Actinopteri; Labriformes; Labridae.
CUUAGCUGCUGUAUUAAUGCUUGUGAUGCUAUUGUACAGCUCUGCUGAUAUCGUCUUUAACAGCAGUGUUUUCUCCCAGGUCUUCUUCAAGCCAGUUAAGAGAGGAAGAACAGCUUAGACACUCAGGCAGCUGAACUCACCAAAGGUGGACAUCAUGCAGCCACCCUGAGCCUUGAGCCUCUCUGUGUGAGGAAGCUUUGCUGCUGCUUACCUGGUGAAGUGGCUCUGGACAGAAAUAUUUUUUGCUCUGCUGCAGUGCUGAAGGUAUUCAUUGUAAUGAUGUGUGUAUUUAUUCAACAUGUUUAGUUUCACAGAUUAUCAACACAAAUGUUUCUGUUUAUUUCCUGUUUUGAACCAGCUACAUUCUCCUACUUCAAGUCACUGUCUGUUCAUCCACGGUGUAGCAAGUGCAGCUGCCUAAUAGUGAUCCUACAAGUCCUGCAGUCCUGUGAAGCAAGCUGCAGCAGAUGUCAUCACAUUCAGAUCAUCAGUUCAUCUUUACUGUAGCUUUAAACUUUCCCUGACUCCAGUGAUUCUGUCAACUCGAACACCGAUAACUGCACACAGCGAUUCUACAACCACAGGUCAAAGGUCAAAACAUUACCUCACUCAAAACCUUCACUCUGAACUUUACCGGGCUCUGCUUUUGGUUUUGAAAAAAAGUGCCCAGACAGAACACAGUACUCACUUGAGGAACUGACUGAUUGUCUUCAGGACAGGACAACUAUUACUCUUAUAUUGUUUUGAAUCCUGUUUUCUACAUUAAGUGAUCGGUUGUCGAUAUCUGUUUAUAUUUUAAGUUUCCUUUAUGUUUCUUGGAC